AUGCGCAGCUCUGGAGGCCCGGACUGUGGGGUCUGGGGUAGGGGUGGGAAUGGGUGUUGGGGAGGGUGGCACCGGCCCCAGGAGAUGUGGCCACAACUCACGGGGCAAGCAGUGAAGGCAGAUGAGCUAAAGAUCAGGAGCAGAACUCGGUCUGAUCGUGUCCCGUGCCUGCGGAAGCAGUGGGCCCACCUGAUUCUCUGGCACAGCUCCCCUCCGCCCCAUCCCAAGGUGCGUCUGCCCUUUGAGAGCUGGGAUUAAGAAGGUGCUCAGGGCUGGCUGGUCAGUUGUCCCACCACAGGCUGCUGCUUGGAGCUGGACUGACUGAGGCUGAUGGUUCCAACCUGGAUCGGCAACGGAACCCACGGGAGCCAGGGCACCAUGUUUAGCAUUUCGAAAGGCUUCACAGAAACUACACCUUUACCCAGGAAAAGGACACACAAACUACCCAAGACAUCAAGUUUCCUUGCUUUUGUUGGAAUUGCAAGAACAUGCCAGUGCCAAGUUCUGAUUGGCUGUGAAUGACAUAAUAGGAAUUUCUGAGACAGGAUUGGUCUGACUCUAGACAUUGUUACUAGAGCUGGCAUCAGGCAUCAUUCCCCAAACUGAACAUGCUCAAUACCUUUAGAAUGAGAUUGACCUUGAAUACGAGUGCCCUUACUAUCCAAAUUAAGCAACCGAUUGUUUCUUCUUCACUUAGCUGUGCUUAUCAUUAUCUCACCUGCAGCAAUGAUUUGAUUUCAUAAUAUUAUUAUGAACUCUUUGUAAAUGUGGAUUGUUGGGUAAAAUUUGGAUCCGUAUUGAAAUGGAACAAUAGUAUAUGGAAUCAAACAAUUACUGUUAAACAUCAUCUGUUAGAAUCUUGUGGCCAGCCUGCGGAAGAGACAUAAAAAAAGGUUAGUAAAACAGCAGGUCUCAUUUAGUGCCCUCAUUUUAAAAAUGAUCUUUUUAACCAGCUUUGCACUAAAAGCUAAGAUAAUUUACAGUGAAGCACUGACUAUUAAUACUUAGUCUCCAUAGCCUCCUGGGAUCCUGUUGGUUGUAUGUACUUUUUGCGUAGGUAUGUUUGAUGUAUACACAUCAUACCAAAUUCUGCUUUUUCAUUUUGUAUUAUGAUGCAUAGACCUUGCCAGUUUUCUGCUUUGCUCCUGUGUUUGUCAUUCUUAAUGGUCACAGCUGCCUGAAAUAAACCUGAGGUCAGACCAGACAGUCUAGCUCAAGUGAUUGAGAAGUCUGUCUGUUUGAUCUUUGGUACCAUGGCUGGUGGGGUCAACUCCGGCCAAGUCUGUGUGGGUGAAAAAGAUGUGCUCAUGCUUGCUGGCGGAGAAGGCAAUGGCACCCCACUCCAGUACUCUUGCCUGGAAAAUCACAUGGACAAAGGAGCCUGGUAGGCUGUAGUCCAUGGGGUCGCUAAGAGUCGGACACGACUGAGCGACUUCACUUUCACUUUUCACUUUCAUGCAUUGAAGAAGGAAAUGGCAACCCACUCCAGUGUUCUUGCCUGGAGAAUCCCAGGGAUGGAGGAGCCUGGUGGGCUGCCAUUGUCUACGGGGUCGCACAGAGUCGGACACGACUGAAGCGACUUAGCAGCAGCAGCAGUAGCAUGCUUGCUGGGAUGCUGAGAAUAAUAAUUUACAUAUGCUGAAUGUUCUUUUCUUUUUUGUUGUUUUUUGUUUGUCUUUUAAAUUUUUUAGUGGCACCUCAUGUGGGAUCUUAGUUCCCUGACCUGAGAUCAAAUCUACUCUGUGCAUUGGAAGCACAGAGUCUUAACCACUGAAUCACCAGGGAAGUCCCUUGAAUGUUAUUUCUUAAUUUUCCCAGCAGCUCCUCUGAGGUAGGCACUAUUAUCACCAUUUUAUUUACAUAUGAGAAAAAAGAGGCUUUUUGCAGUGACUUGUCCACAAUCACAUGCCAGUAAGAAGCAGUGGGCCAGAGAUCCGAAGCUGGGUCUUUUCAAUGCCAGAGUUCUCAACCAGAUUUUUCCAUGCUCCAUGGGGCUCAUCCAGUUCUCAACUCACUUCAGAAAACUAACCACCUUCCACCUUAAUCCUCACAACAAAUACUUCUGUUAAUGUGUACUCGAGUCACAGAGGCUUAAUAGUAAACGAAUAUGAAGUAAACGCUGCAGGCAAGCAGGAGCCCUGGAGAUGCUCCCAUCCAUGUUGGGCAUUUGCUUUCAGGGUGAUUUUGGCUAUAAAUAGCUUUUUUUCCCCCCUGACCUUAAAACCUAGUCCCCCUGAGAGUGGCCACCAGAUUCCUACACAUGCUAAAAUUAGACAUUAUCUGUGUGCCCUGCUCCAUUCUCCAGACACAAUAACAAGUUUCCCACGUUCUCCCCGCUGCCAUUUCCUGUGGCAAUGCUUGGAAGUCUUUGCAGCAAUCUCUCCUGCCUGCAGCGGUCCUGGGAGGAGGCAUUCCUCUGUCACCUGGACUCCUGUGUGUCUGGGGCCCGGAGACCCAGUUCCUCUGUACAUUUCCAGGGGCUUGCUUCUGUUGAAUGAAAAAAUUUCACACAUGAAUUAAAGCACUCAUGUCCUUGGGCGGGAUUGGAAACUGGAGUUCAGACUCUAGAAGACUUCUUGGGGCAGAGGGGUGAAAAGUGUCUGGAUUUACCCCCUGAGCCUUUGGCUUCCUGGUCUCUAAAAUUGCCCUUUUCUGGAGUGUGGCCCUCAUUCUAGGGUCCUGACAUUAUCUGAGCUCAGAAUGUGUUUUUCUUUUGUUCAGUUGCUAAGUCAUAUCUGACUCUUUGUGACCUCGUGAACUGCAGCACGCCAGGUUCCUCUGUCCUCCACUAUCUCCCAGAGUUUGCUCAAACUCAUGUCCAUUGAGUUGGUGAUGCUAUCUAACCAUCUCAUUCUCUGCCACUCCCCUUCUCCUUUUGCCUUCAGUCUUUUGAGUGAAUUAUAGUGGUUCUAUACCGUUUGGAAAACUUGUACCAUAGAAGUUAUAUUGUGGACUGCAUAAGUUUUGUGGGCCUAUGAACCUAUUUCCCUUUUUUUUUUUCCUUCAGGAUAAAUGGAUCUGAAAUUUUAGACAUUUGAUUUACUGAUGAAUUUUGGAACUCAGUCUCCUUUUGGUUGAGGAUUUGUUUUCUGUGGUUAUUUGGGUGGUGUAAAUGUUGUAGGAGGUCACCUGAGGGACUAGAGCUGUCCAGAAGGAAGUAGGGCUUCAGUUCAGGCGUCACUGCCUUCAUGAAGUAUGCUAGGAUUUGACAAGUCAGAGGAGAGAGGGGAAGGCGUGUCCAGAAUGGGGUGCUUCAGAAAUGGAGGUGGAAGGAGGAUGGUUUGCACGUGAGCCAGUGCCUCCUACAACCAACCAGAGUAUUGGGAACACUUUACAGUAACUGGAAAUAAGGUUGAGUAGACAGGGGGGCUGGGGCAUAUUGGGUCCUGAAGGCCCAGGAGAUUAGAGACACAGAAACAUGAUAGGAUUUUGUGCAAAAUGGUGACAUGAUGAGAGUAGUAUUUUAAAGAAGACUAGUCUGGUAGCUGAAUGCCAUGUAGGCUGGAGGCUGAGGCAAGGGGUGAAGUCAGAAAGAAAUGCUGAGGUGUGAGGUGGGAGUCUACAGGACUUGGAAAACUGAAGAUAAGAGGUUUGGAGGGUAAAGAAGAGAAGACUCUCUUGACUGGGGCCUCGGUUGGAAGAGCAGUGGUUCCUUGAUAGGUGGGAGGGACUUAGUGGGCCAGGGUAGGGUGGGCAGGAAUGAGGUGGGUCCCUUGGGUUUAGAAUUAGACACAGAUAGAGUCUGUGUGUGGGUGGAGAAGAGAGAAGAAUGGGUAAAAGAAUCUCUCUCCAGGAAAUGGGAAUAGUGAUUGGUGUGGAUAGAUGGAUAUGGGAGACAAGAUAGCAACUCAUACUGCCUUCCUGGUGAGUUGGGGGCAAGGCCAGGUGCUCAGACAGAGAAAGGAGGGAGACAAAAUUGGAGGCCUGGAUGGGAGACAAGGCCUGGAACCACACCAGUGGGGGAUCUGACUAGGAAAUCAGUGCGCUCAUUCAGGAAUUUCCUGGAAACAGCAAGGACACAGGCCAGGUCUGCAUGCCACAGCUGCCUCCUGGCUGGGGUCUGCAGCAACCGUGGCUGCGCUGCCCCCAACCCUCCCAGCUCCAUACCCUCCCUGGCUGGGGUCGAGAUCCCUGGCAGCAGGAGUGCCUCGGGCCCUGGUGUGGACGUCUCACAGGCAGUAGAGAGCAGUGCUGAUGACUUAAGGAGGGUGGUGCAGAUGGUGGUUUGGUGUUGAAAACAAGGCCAGCCCUUCUCUUAUUUUGGUCUCCUCUCCAUUAAAAAAAAAAAAAGCCAGGCAGACUAGAAGGCGGACGGUGUUUUGUGAGAGAGGCAGGGAGUUGUGUCCCCAGGGGCCUCUGCAGGGCACUGUAGAAGUGAGGGCAGGGGGAACGUGGAGCUGGUGUGGGAUGAAUCCACAGGAGGGAGGAGCCGAGAGGUUGUGCCAGAAGGGCCGUCUGUGCAAAGUAAGAACAGAGGAAGCGGUGGGGUAGAGAGCCUGAUGGGAGUUCUGUCCUAGCACAGCUGGCGCAGAGGCAGCCCUUUGUGCAGUGUGGCAUUAGGGAUGUGGGGGUGGAGGCGGGCACGGAUAAGGGAUGCCUGAGGAAGCCAGACUGACACAUGUCCUCUGUUGCCACAGCGCACCCAGGUGCUGCUAAUCUGCAUCAUAAUCUUAGCAGACUCAGCCCCCUCUCCACCUGUAACCAGAGAUAAGGGGUGUUUCUACAGCUGGGCUAAGCAAGACAAGUCCGGAAGGUCUAGAAGUGUUUGUUAAUGUGAGAUGAACUGUUGCAAUAUUAUUAGAAAAGUAUUUGGACUUAAUUGCCUUAGGCACAUUAGUCCAAGUGUACUUAGCUUGAGCACUGGCCAAGAAUUUCUCUGGUGCAAAAUGAAAAAGUAGGGCUCUACGGAGGUUCUUUUCCAUGGAAAUUGAAUUAUAGACUCACAGACUGGUAAAAUCUAGAGCUUUCUGGAAAAUUCCUUAAACACAAUGGAGGACCCUCUCUCCCCUCACCCUGAUUCACAGCGAAGGAACCCAAGGUCCCAGGAGGUGAAGGGCACGAGCCCCGUCACUGUCACUUGAGGGUCUUGGUCCUCCUCAGGGCUCCUAGCCUUGCUGCCUCAUGGCUUCCCUUGGUCUGCAUUUUCAGUGACAGAUUCCUCUACCAACUGCU
This is a long non-coding RNA of Bos grunniens (domestic yak), 5172 nucleotides long. NCBI's taxonomy places the organism in Eukaryota, Metazoa, Chordata, Mammalia, Artiodactyla, Bovidae. The record is from Ensembl.